This 446-nucleotide ribosomal RNA is filed under the name uncultured bacterium. RNAcentral describes it as "partial 16S ribosomal RNA". It matches the Rfam family "Bacterial small subunit ribosomal RNA", at positions 338 to 795 of the family's 1533-position model. The record is from RNAcentral.
CCUACGGGUGGCAGCAGUCGAGAAUCAUUCACAAUGGGGGAAACCCUGAUGGUGCGACGCCGCGUGGGGGAAUGAAGGUCUUCGGAUUGUAAACCCCUGUCAUGUGGGAGCAAAUUAAAAAGAUAGUACCACAAGAGGAAGAGACGGCUAACUCUGUGCCAGCAGCCGCGGUAAGACAGGGGUCUCAAGUGUUGAUCGAAAUUACUGGGCGUAAAGCGUGCGUAGGCGGUUUAGUAAGUCGUGGGGGAAAGGGGCGGGCUCAACCCGCGGACGGCACAUGAUACUGCGAGUCUUGAGUAAUGGAGGGGGAACCGGAAUUCUCGGUGUAGCAGUGAAAUGCGUAGAUAUCGAGAGGAACACUCGUGGCGAAGGCGGGUUCCUGGACAUUAACUGACGCUGAGGCACGAAGGCCAGGGGAGCGAAAGGGAUUAGAUACCCCUGUAGUC